GUCCAUGCCGUAAACGUUGGGAACUAGAUGUAGGGACCAUUCCACGGUUUCUGUGUCGCAGCUAACGCAUUAAGUUCCCCGCCUGGGGAGUACGGCCGCAAGGCUAAACUCAAAGGAAUUGACGGGGCCCGCACAAGCGGCGGAGCAUGCGGAUUAAUUCGAUGCAACGCGAAGAACCUUACCAAGGCUUGACAUAUACCGGAAAUGGCUAGAAAUAGUCCCCCCGCAAGGUCGGUAUACAGGUGGUGCAUGGUUGUCGU
This 260-nucleotide ribosomal RNA is filed under the name uncultured bacterium. Its description in RNAcentral is "partial 16S ribosomal RNA". It matches the Rfam family "Bacterial small subunit ribosomal RNA", at positions 793 to 1055 of the family's 1533-position model. The record is from RNAcentral.